CAGUCGCCACGUUAAUACAGAGGGUGCGAGCGUUAAUCGGAUUUACUGGGCGUAAAGCGUGCGUAGGCGGCUUCUUAAGUCGGAUGUGAAAUCCCUGAGCUUAACUUAGGAAUUGCAUUCGAUACUGGGAAGCUAGAGUAUGGGAGAGGAUGGUAGAAUUCCAGGUGUAGCGGUGAAAUGCGUAGAGAUCUGGAGGAAUACCGAUGGCGAAGGCAGCCAUCUGGCCUAAUACUGACGCUGAGGUACGAAAGCAUGGGGAGCAAACAGGAUUAGAUACCCCCGUAGUCCCUGUCUCUUAUAC
Molecule: ribosomal RNA, 301 nt
Filed under: uncultured bacterium
Lineage: Bacteria
Description: partial 16S ribosomal RNA
Rfam family: Bacterial small subunit ribosomal RNA
Source: RNAcentral